This 661-nucleotide ribosomal RNA is filed under the name uncultured bacterium. Its description in RNAcentral is "bacterial SSU rRNA". It matches the Rfam family "Bacterial small subunit ribosomal RNA", at positions 391 to 1047 of the family's 1533-position model. The record is from RNAcentral.
AUCAUGCCGCGUGAGUGAAGAAGGCCUUCGGGUUGUAAAGCUCUUUUGUCAGGGAAGAAACACCGGCUCUAACACAGUCCGGGAAUGACGGUACCUGAAGAAUAAGCACCGGCUAACUACGUGCCAGCAGCCGCGGUAAUACGUAGGGUGCGAGCGUUAAUCGGAAUUACUGGGCGUAAAGCGUGCGCAGGCGGUUAUACAAGACAGGCGUGAAAUCCCCGGGCUUAACCUGGGAAUGGCGCCUGUGACUGUAUAGCUAGAGUGUGUCAGAGGGGGGUAGAAUUCCACGUGUAGCAGUGAAAUGCGUAGAUAUGUGGAGGAAUACCAAUGGCGAAGGCAGCCCCCUGGGAUAACACUGACGCUCAUGCACGAAAGCGUGGGGAGCAAACAGGAUUAGAUACCCUGGUAGUCCACGCCCUAAACGAUGCUGACUAGUUGUUCGGGAUUUACAUCCUGAGUAACGUAGCAACGCGUGAAGUCAGCCGCCUGGGGAGUACGGUCGCAAGAUUAAAACUCAAAGGAAUUGACGGGGACCCGCACAAGCGGUGGAUGAUGUGGAUUAAUUCGAUGCAACGCGAAAAACUUACCUACCCUUGACAUGUCACUAACGAAGUAGAGAUACAUUGGUGCUCGUUAGAGAAAGUGACACCGGUGCUGCAUG